CAGCAGUGGGGAAUAUUGCACAAUGGGCGCAAGCCUGAUGCAGCCAUGCCGCGUGUGUGAAGAAGGCCUUCGGGUUGUAAAGCACUUUCAGUUGUGAGGAAGGUGGUGUCGUUAAUAGCGGCAUCAUUUGACGUUAGCAACAGAAGAAGCACCGGCUAACUCCGUGCCAGCAGCCGCGGUAAUACGGAGGGUGCGAGCGUUAAUCGGAAUUACUGGGCGUAAAGCGCAUGCAGGUGGUUUGUUAAGUCAGAUGUGAAAGCCCGGGGCUCAACUUCGGAACUGCAUUUGAAACUGGCAGACUAGAGUACUGUAGAGGGGGGUAGAAUUUUCAGGUGUAGCGGUGAAAUGCGUAGAGAUCUGAAGGAAUACCGGUGGCGAAGGCGGCCCCCUGGACAGAUACUGACACUCAGAUGCGAAAGCGUGGGGAGCAAACAGGAUUAGAUACCCUGGUAG
RNAcentral lists this ribosomal RNA (453 nucleotides) under uncultured bacterium. Its description in RNAcentral is "bacterial SSU rRNA". It matches the Rfam family "Bacterial small subunit ribosomal RNA", at positions 349 to 793 of the family's 1533-position model. The record is from RNAcentral.